Molecule: ribosomal RNA, 469 nt
Filed under: uncultured bacterium
Lineage: Bacteria
Description: partial 16S ribosomal RNA
Rfam family: Bacterial small subunit ribosomal RNA
Source: RNAcentral
GAUGAACGCUGGCGGCGUGCUUAACACAUGCAAGUCGAACGGUGAACCCGGAGCUUGCUCUGUGUGAUCAGUGGCGAACGGGUGAGUAACACGUGAGCAACCUGCCCCUGACUCUGGGAUAAGCGCUGGAAACGGCGUCUAAUACUGGAUAUGUGACGUGACCGCAUGGUCUGCGUUUGGAAAGAUUUUUCGGUUGGGGAUAGGCUCGCGGCCUAUCAGCUUGUUGGUGAGGUAGUGGCUCACCAAGGCGUCGACGGGUAGCCGGCCUGAGAGGGUGACCGGCCACACUGGGACUGAGACACGGCGCAGACGCCUACGGGAGGCAGCAGUGGGGAGUAUUGCACAAUGGGCGCAAGUGUGAGGCAGCGACGCCGGGUGAGGGAUGACGGCCUUCGGGGUGUAAACCUCUGUUAGCAGAGAAGAAGCGAAAGUGACGGUACCUGCAGAAAAAGCGCCGGCUAACUACGUG